GACGAACGCUGGCGGCGUGCUUAACACAUGCAAGUCGAACGGAAAGGCCCUGCUUUUGUGGGGUGCUCGAGUGGCGAACGGGUGAGUAACACGUGAGUAACCUGCCCUUGACUUUGGGAUAACUUCAGGAAACUGGGGCUAAUACCGGAUAGGAGCUCCUGCUGCAUGGUGGGGGUUGGAAAGUUUCGGCGGUUGGGGAUGGACUGGCGGCUUAUCAGCUUGUUGGUGGGGUAGUGGCUUACCAAGGGUUUGACGGGUAGCCGGCCUGAGAGGGUGACCGGCCACAUUGGGACUGAGAGACGGCCCAGACUCCUACGGGAGGCAGCAGUGGGGAAUAUUGCACAAUGGGCGGAAGCCUGAUGCAGCAACGCCGCGUGCGGGAUGACGGCCUUCGGGUUGUAAACCGCUUUCGCCUGUGACGAAGCGUGAGUGACGGUAAUGGGUAAAGAAGCACCGGCUAACUACGUG
This 468-nucleotide ribosomal RNA is filed under the name uncultured bacterium. RNAcentral's name for it is "partial 16S ribosomal RNA". It matches the Rfam family "Bacterial small subunit ribosomal RNA", at positions 28 to 507 of the family's 1533-position model. The record is from RNAcentral.